AUGAACAGUAAUAGGGUUCCUGGGUCAGAUAGCAUUCCGGCCGAGUUUUACCAACACUGUUGGGAUAUAGUGAAAAAAGAUAUUAUGGGUCUGUUCCAUGCCUUCCAUGAUGGAAGCUUGGACGUGUAUAGGUUGAACUACGACAUUAUCACUCUCCUGCCCAAGAUCUCUGGAGUAGAUAAGAUCCAACAAUUCAGGCCUAUAUGUUUGUUGAGAUGUCCCUAUAAACUGAUUACCAAGGUCUUAGAUAAUAGAGUGGCCUUUUUUGCUGACACUUUGUUUAGCAAAUAUCAAAAUGCCUUUAUCAAAAACAGGAAUAUCAUGGAUGGGGUCUUAUCUUUGCAUGAAAUUCUUCACCAUACUUAUGUUAAGAAAAAAUGUGGGAUUGUCAUUAAACUCGACUUCGAGAAAGCAUAUGACAAGGUUAAUUGGGAUUUCCUUUUGAAGUGCCUUGAUAAUAGAGGGUUUGGGAAAACAUGGUGUGAGUGGAUGAGAAAAAUCCUGCAUAAUGGCACAGUUUGUGUCAAGUUGAACAAUACUAUGGGACCUUACUUCCAAAGUUAUAAAGGGGUCAGACAGGGAGAUCCUAUAUCCCCGUUCCGGUUUAAUAUCGCAGCUGAGUGCUUAUGCAAAAUGGUGCUGCAAGCACAGAAAAACAAUCUAUUUGUUGGGUUGGCUGCGGAUCUGGUGGAGAAUGGGGUAGCAAUUCUGCAAUAUGCAGACGAUACCGUUCUUUGUAUUGAACACGAUCCAGAUAAAGCUGUGAAUCUUAAGCUUCUUCUGUAUAUGUUCGAACUCAUGUCAGGUUUGAAAAUUAACUACCAGAAGAGUGAGAUUCUUUGUGUUGGGGGGGAUGACAACAUAUUGCAAACUUGUGCUGACAUUUUCAACUGUCAGAUUGGCCACUUCCCUAUGAAAUAUUUGGGGGUCCCAGUCAGUUAUUCAUCCAUCAGAGGGGUUGAUUGGGAUUUUCUGGAAGCUAAGUAUAUUAGUAGGUGUGAUUCUGGUUUGGGCAGUAAUGCC
Molecule: ribosomal RNA, 1023 nt
Filed under: Triticum aestivum (bread wheat)
Lineage: Eukaryota; Viridiplantae; Streptophyta; Magnoliopsida; Poales; Poaceae
Description: partial small subunit ribosomal RNA
Source: RNAcentral